This 467-nucleotide ribosomal RNA is filed under the name uncultured bacterium. Its description in RNAcentral is "partial 16S ribosomal RNA". It matches the Rfam family "Bacterial small subunit ribosomal RNA", at positions 28 to 506 of the family's 1533-position model. The record is from RNAcentral.
GACGAACGCUGGCGGCGUGCUUAACACAUGCAAGUCGAACGGAAAGGCCCUGCUUUUGUGGGGUGCUCGAGUGGCGAACGGGUGAGUAACACGUGAGUAACCUGCCCUUGACUUUGGGAUAACUUCAGGAAACUGGGGCUAAUACCGGAUAGGAGCUCCUGCUGCAUGGUGGGGGUUGGAAAGUUUCGGCGGUUGGGGAUGGACUCGCGGCUUAUCAGCUUGUUGGUGGGGUAGUGGCUUACCAAGGCUUUGACGGGUAGCCGGCCUGAGAGGGUGACCGGCCACAUUGGGAGUGAGAUGCGGCCCAGACUCCUACGGGAGGCAGCAGUGGGGAAUAUUGCACAAUGGGCGGAAGCCUGAUGCAGCAACGCCGCGUGCGGGAUGACGGCCUUCGGGUGGUAAACCGCUUUAGCGUGUGACGAAGCGUGAGUGACGGUAAUGGGUGAAGAAGCACCGGCUAACUACGU